CGUUGUUCUGUGGUGGAUUUGUGUGUUUUUGGUGUUUUUCUUUCUGUUGUGCUUGCAGAGAUGCACUGAGACGCUGGGUGGAGUUUUCCACUCAUCAUCAGAUGACCUCUGGUCUUCACGCUACCUGCUGCCAGAUGAUUUGUGUUUGCCAGCAUAUCCAGCUACCAGUGGCUCCACUUCCAGCAGCCCAGCAGCUCUGCAGCCAGCAGCCUCGCCCUGCGCUCACCUGAGUCUCUACUCGCCACGCUUACCACCAGCGCCAGUCUCUAUCUAUAGGCUUCAACUAUCUACAACGAAGUGUAUAGAAUCAUAUAACAAACUCUGAACCUAGUGGAUCCGACAUCCAUACACCAGGCUCUAAACACCGGCUGCAGACCAGGUAGCUCCAUUCUUCACCUGAUCCCUCACUCUCUGCCAGCACCUCAGCACUCCCCAUGUCCCACCAGGAUCCCCAGAGCUCCGCCUGCUGUCCUGGAGGAGCAGUACAGGUGGGAAGAACUCGCUUGACUCUAGAGGAACGUCAACACUGUACAAAUAACCAACUGUGCAUCUACUAACCCUGACACAGCCCGGACACCACCUCGCCUUCUGCCUGACUCCUGGAAAAUAAACUGUUCAUCAAACCUGAGAAGCGAGCAGGCGCUUUCUUACCAUUAAGUCAAAGGUCGGCACUUGGGCCCCCUGACCUGCAGGGGCCCAGGACCUCCGGCCAGCAGCCCCCCACCAGUGUCUUUGUACAUUAGAAUUAUGUUCUUCUGAUCAGAAAAUAAAG
Long non-coding RNA from Acanthopagrus latus (yellowfin seabream), 772 nucleotides. RefSeq lists it as uncharacterized. NCBI's taxonomy places the organism in Eukaryota, Metazoa, Chordata, Actinopteri, Spariformes, Sparidae. The transcript is spliced from 2 exons. The record is from RefSeq and is a predicted model, not a curated record.